Long non-coding RNA from Astatotilapia calliptera (eastern happy), 372 nucleotides. Lineage: Eukaryota; Metazoa; Chordata; Actinopteri; Cichliformes; Cichlidae. The record is from Ensembl.
UUGUAUGCAACUUGCAUGUCUUUCUUAACUAAAUGUUUGUUUAAAUCGUGUUUUUCAGGAAAAAGAAGAAGUUAAAGUCAAGUGGAAGCCCUGCUCAACAUGGUAUGUAGUAACAGCUUUGUUACUACAAAACUCUCCCCCUCUCCCUCACCACCAUCUGUAAACACACAUGUCUCAGUAAUGCAGUUCAUGCAUGUUACUAACUAAACUUCUUCCCUGGAGUUUCUGUGCUCUCUCAUCCAGCAGGUUCUGAAGGAUCGUGGCUGCUGCUGUGGUCCUGCUUGACGUCUGCUUCAUAUAUUAUUACUCUCUGACUUGAUUUGAUUCAUUUAUAUUACAAUGAAGUGGCAAAGUGUGGGAUGACACAUGGGA